CAGUAGCCACGGUAAUACGAAGGGGGCUAGCGUUGUUCGGAAUUACUGGGCGUAAAGCGCACGUAGGCGGAUACUUAAGUCAGGGGUGAAAUCCCGGGGCUCAACCCCGGAACUGCCUUUGAUACUGGGUAUCUCGAGUCCGGAAGAGGUGAGUGGAAUUCCGAGUGUAGAGGUGAAAUUCGUAGAUAUUCGCAGGAACACCAGUGGCGAAGGCGGCUAACUGGUCCAUAACUGACGCUGAGGUGCGAAAGCGUGGGGAGCAAACAGGAUUAGAUACCCCAGUAGUCCCUGUCUCUUAUAC
RNAcentral lists this ribosomal RNA (301 nucleotides) under uncultured bacterium. Its description in RNAcentral is "partial 16S ribosomal RNA". It matches the Rfam family "Bacterial small subunit ribosomal RNA", at positions 509 to 807 of the family's 1533-position model. The record is from RNAcentral.